CGUGCUGGCGUCGGGGAGCCGGCGUGAUGACGCGUGGUGGACGCUAGCUAGCCUGCGGUUGCGUGGCUGUGGAGGCCGAGCCUGAGGCCUGGGCCACGGCCAACGGGGACCACGGAGCCGCCGUCGUGUGGGCUCGAUGGGCUGAAAGGCUGUGUGACUAUAAAUUAUAACAGAACAUGAUGGUUGGCGUGGACUCGGUGGGCCGAAGGGCGUGUUUCCACAAUGUAUCUCUAAACUAAACAAUGAACAAUUGGAAGUCCAGGGAAUAAAAACCCGUUCAAGAGUGUAGUGAACAUUUCCACACUCAAUAAUACGACACAUCUUCAGAUGCUGAGGUUAAGACCAAAGACUCGUUGGAUGCUACACACAGAAGUAAUCAAUGUCCUUUCUGAAGUUCUCUGCACAAAUCUUUUUAAAAAUAAAUUCUCACAUUCAUUCCAACUGGAACUCAAGCAGUAAUGAAAA
Molecule: long non-coding RNA, 465 nt
Organism: Amblyraja radiata (thorny skate)
Lineage: Eukaryota; Metazoa; Chordata; Chondrichthyes; Rajiformes; Rajidae
Exons: 2
Source: RefSeq, a predicted model, not a curated record